RNAcentral lists this transfer RNA (85 nucleotides) under Clostridia bacterium. RNAcentral's name for it is "tRNA-Leu". It matches the Rfam family "tRNA". From Rfam's summary of the family: Transfer RNA (tRNA) molecules are approximately 80 nucleotides in length. Their secondary structure includes four short double-helical elements and three loops (D, anti-codon, and T loops). Lineage: Bacteria; Bacillati; Bacillota; Clostridia. The record is from RNAcentral.
GCCGGAAUGGCGGAAUAGGUAGACGCCCGGGACUUAAAAUCCCGUGAUACAGUGUAUCGUACGGGUUCGAUUCCCGUUUCCGGCA